ACGGUCAUAUCACGUUGACAUACCGGUUCCCGUACGAUCACCGAAGUUACGCAACCUCGAUGUUGGUCAGUAACAAGAUGGGUGACCACUUGGGAAUACCAAGUGCUGUAAG
This is a non-coding RNA of Acanthosepion pharaonis, 112 nucleotides long. NCBI's taxonomy places the organism in Eukaryota, Metazoa, Mollusca, Cephalopoda, Sepiida, Sepiidae. The record is from the annotation of a GenBank genome assembly.